AGCGAACGCUGGCGGCAGGCCUAACACAUGCAAGUCGAACGAACUCUUCGGAGUUAGUGGCGGACGGGUGAGUAACACGUGGGAACGUGCCUUUUGGUUCGGAAUAACUCAGGGAAACUUGUGCUAAUACCGAAUGUGCUCUUCGGGGGAAAGAUUUAUCGCCAUUAGAGCGGCCCGCGUCUGAUUAGCUAGUUGGUGAGGUAACGGCUCACCAAGGCGACGAUCAGUAGCUGGUCUGAGAGGAUGACCAGCCACACUGGGACUGAGACACGGCCCAGACUCCUACGGGAGGCAGCAGUGGGGAAUCUUGCGCAAUGGGCGAAAGCCUGACGCAGCCAUGCGGCGUGAAUGAUGAAGGUCUUAGGAUUGUAAAAUUCUUUCACCGGGGACGAUAAUGACGGUACCCGGAGAAGAAGCCCCGGCUAACUUCGUG
RNAcentral lists this ribosomal RNA (433 nucleotides) under uncultured bacterium. Its description in RNAcentral is "partial 16S ribosomal RNA". It matches the Rfam family "Bacterial small subunit ribosomal RNA", at positions 29 to 507 of the family's 1533-position model. The record is from RNAcentral.